RNAcentral lists this ribosomal RNA (468 nucleotides) under uncultured bacterium. Its description in RNAcentral is "partial 16S ribosomal RNA". It matches the Rfam family "Bacterial small subunit ribosomal RNA", at positions 28 to 507 of the family's 1533-position model. The record is from RNAcentral.
GGCGAACGCUGGCGGCGUGCUUAACACAUGCCAGUCGAACGGAAAGGCCCUGCUUUUGUGGGGUGCUCGAGUGGCGAACGGGUGAGUAACACGUGAGUAACCUGCCCUUGACUUUGGGAUAACUUCAGGAAACUGGGGCUAAUACCGGAUAGGAGCUCCUGCUGCAUGGUGGGGGUUGGAAAGUUUCGGCGGUUGGGGAUGGACUCGCGGCUUAUCAGCUUGUUGGUGGGGUAGUGGCUUACCAAGGCUUUGACGGGUAGCCGGCCUGAGAGGGUGACCGGCCACAUUGGGACUGAGGUACGGCCCAGACUCCUACGGGAGGCAGCAGUGGGGAAUAUUGCACAAUGGGCGGAAGCCUGAUGCAGCAACGCCGCGUGCGGGAUGACGGCCUUCGGGUUGUAAACCGCUUUCGCCUGUGACGAAGCGUGAGUGACGGUAAUGGGUAAAGAAGCACCGGCUAACUACGUG